UUUUAGCUUUCUGUCUCUGCGAGUGAUUUGGGCGGUGAUUUGGGCAGAUCGCUUGCCCAAAUCACUUCUACCUGUUGCCUCCAGGUUUUUGCUUCAGCUUGAUCUGGGCAGUGUUUUGGCCAAAUCACUUUGACCCAAUCACUUUUCCAGUUUUUUCUUCACUUUUUCUCCAACUUUCCAUUUUCUUCUUUUUCUACAAAAACAUAACAAAAACAUAAAUUAAGCUAGAAAAAUGUGUAAUUAAACAGUAAUAAAUAUACUAAAAAUGUGGCUAAAUUAUGCUUGAUCAAAUACCCCCACACCUAACUUUUUUGCUUGUCCUCAAGCAACAAAUAACUUAGUCAAUCAAGCUCCUUUUUCUUUUGAGCCUAAGUGCCACUUAAUCAGCCCCCCCUAGACUCCUAGAUUGAAGCAACACAGUGUAGACUACAUGCACUAAGGUUGUUCUCCCUUUACCUUGUUUCCCUUCACCUACCAUGGUCAAAGGAAAGAUUUUUGAUUCAAUCAUGCUUAUUCUAUUUGUGUAAGCUCAAUGCAACCUCUAAGAGUGACUUGCCCUCCCUUGAGCUUUUUAUUUUAUUCAGCAACACUUUUUUAUUCUUGCCUGAAAAAAUCACUAACCUUUUUACGUGAAGGUGCAUAUUGGUGAUACCCACCCCCGAUUACUCAGUUAGUCACUUGUUCAAGUGGCUACUAGCUCUGUUCAUAGCUUAUUUGACCAUUGUAACAGGUUUAUGAAUUGUGCUUUAUGCUGAUUUUUCUUUUUCUUUUCUUUUCAUGAUGUUUUUGGGCAAAUCAACUUAUAGGAAGUUUACACUAACUUUUUAUUUGCAUGUAUUUGUGUUUUUAUUUCCCUUGACCUUAGCAGAUUGAAGAUUCAAUUUAAGAAAAGAACUUCCUAAGUGAAGGUAGCACACUGUAAGUGAUUCAAUUUAGGCUUAAAGGGGUGGUAAAUCAAUGGGGUCAUGAGAUAGGAAGCUCUUUUAACCUUGUUAUCUAUGCUGAGUAGAGCAAAAGCUAAGUCAAAAUUCUAUGUGUGUGUGUGCAAAAAGUGAAAAAUGUGUGAAAAAAUUUUGGUGUGUGUUUAUGGGGCAAAAAGAUGCAAAAAGAAACAAAAAGAAAGCAAAAAAAUAAUGUAAACAAAAAAAAUAUAACCUAACAGUAAAUACCCCCACACCUAUCCCAAACAUUGUCCUCAAUGGUUAAACAUUUAUAUGAAAAAAAAAAUUAAUAAGGAGAAGGAAAGGGACUGCCUGAUCUGUGGGCGAUUUGGACAGUGAUUUGGGCAAAUCACUCGCCAAAUCACUGUCUGUCAUGGUGGUGGGGCAGAAAAUGGUCCACCAGCAGCUGCAACAUGCUUUCCAUGUGCUGCAUCCUGUCUUCGAUUCUGGUGAGAUGAGCCUCCACCGAAUGGUCUUGAGCUGCCUUUAUGUCCUCCAAGGUCCACCAAUUGCUUCUUUGUGCUUCCUCAACACUUCUAGGAGUUUUUCUUCUUCUUGUGAGCUGAGCUGGUUUGCUGUCUGCUAUCUGCUGGUUGAUUUGGGCAGAUCAUCUGGUGCUGUUUCAGGUGAUCUGGGCAAAUUACUGUCUGUCCUGUUUGUCUGCUCCAGUGAUUUGGUCAGUGAUUUGGGCAAAUCACCUGCAACCAGCUGUGAACAGUACUCCAUCUGGUCUGUCUUGGUGUUGCUGCUGUCUGUCUUUUCAAAUCUGCAUAAGUCAGCAUUGAGUGUGUCCUAUAGAUCAAAGUCAAAAAUUUCUUGACUUAAAUCAUCAAUUAUAUCAAGGCCAUAAACAGGAGAAACAUCAUUGGAGAAUUUCAUGGCAUCAUAAACAUUAAACUUGAUAACUUCCCCUUCAAACUCCAUGGUCAAUGUGCCAUCAUGCACAUCAAUUUUUGUUCUGGCUGUGCUCAAGAAUGGUCUCCCAAGUAGGAUGUCAGAGGUGAUUUUGCCCUUAUCCUCCUCCAUGUCAAUCACAUAAAAAUCUGCUGGGAAGACUAGUUGGUCAACUUGUACCAACACAUCUUCUAGCACUCCCUUGGGAUAGACGACGGAUCGGUCAGCCAAUUGGAUCACAAUGCUGGUGCCCUUGAGUGUGCCUGCAUUCAACAAGUUAAAGAUGGAAAGGGGCAUGACAUUGAUUGAAGCCCCAAGGUCACACAUGGCCUUCUUUAUCUCAACGUUGCCUAUUUUGCAUGAAACAGCGAACAUUCCUCUAUCCUUGCAUUUGGUUGGAAGUUUUCUUUGAAUGACAGCUGAGACACACUCCCCCACACUUACCUUUUCAUGUUCAGCAAGUUUCCUUCGGUUGGUGCAUAACUCUUUGAGAAACUUGGCAUAGCUUAGAAUUUGCUUCACAACAUCUAAUAGGGGAAUGUUGAUUUCUACCUUGCGGAGUGUCUCAAGUAUUUCUUUCUCCUCUUUCUCCUUUUGGGACCUUGCAAAUCUCUUUGAGAAGGGAGGAGGUACCUUAAAUUCUUCCAUUGGUUGCUGGUCUGCCUUGGUCUGCUUGGAGCUGGACUUUGCCUGGAUUAUUCAUUUGGGCAGAUUGAAUUUUGCCUUGUCUGGUGAUUUGGGCAGAUCACUGCUGGGCAGCUCAGUCUGCCUAGCGAUUGGGUCAGUGAUUUGGACAGAUCGACUACCCUGAUCACUUUCUGGCAGAUUCUCCUCCAUGGCCUGUUUCUUCAAUUUCUCAGCCUUGCUAUCUUGCAGCUCUUUUCCACUCCUCAAUGUGAUGGCACUAACAUUUUGUCUUGGAUUUAUCUCAGUUUGGGAUGGUAGCUUCCCUUGUGACUCCCAUUUGCUCAUUGAAGUGGCCAUUUGGCUCACUUGUUGCUCAAGAUUUUGCACAGUAUUUGCUAAGAACUUCACAAUCUCUUCAAGGGGUGUAUUGGACUUUUGAGGUGCAGCUUGAGCUGGAUUCCAUUGCUGAUAGCUUGGAUAUGGAUUGGCCCUUGCAUAGUCAUAAUUCGGGUGGUCCCUCCAACAUGGAUUGUCGGUAUCAAGGUAAGGAUCAUGUCUUGGCUAGCUAUUGAAUCCUCCAAAGGCACGUACUUGCUGGUAAUCCUCAUAAAGUGUAGGACAUCGAUCAGUUGGGUGUCCUACAUAUGUGCAAAUCUCACAUGGUCUGAUUUGAUGAAGUUGUUGAACUUGUUGAGCUUGACCUAUACUAUAAUUUCUCACAAUAGAGGUUAGUUCAGAAAUUUGAGAAGAGAGAAAAGACAUACUUACCAUAGCCAUGCUUGUAAGGUCUUGGCAGUGCGUUCAAUUUCUGGAUCGUAAAAAAGAGCUUCUUUACGAUCAGCCCUGGUCAUAAAAAGGAAAAUACGUUAGUUAGAUCAAAUCCCCGGCAACGGAGCCAAUUUUUGAUAGCGAUUGUCGAAGCCGUUAAAAAUAAACCUAUUAUCAAUCAACAAAUAAAUUUGCAGAUAGUGGCAAUAGGGUCGAACCACAGGGAAUUGACACCAAAGAUUUUCCUAAUAAUGACUAAGGCAAAUAAAUGAUAAAUAAAUAAAAGAGGGGGGUUUUGUUUUGAAGAUGUACUAAAGCUAAUUAACAAUAGAAAGCAAAUAAUUUAAAGAUGAGUAAAUCAAUAAGAGAAAAGUUUCUAGUUGAAGUAUGGAUCUAUUUCAGAUUAUUUAGAAUUGAUCAUUGAUUCUUUAACUGUAACGACCCAAAAAUUGGACCGUCACCGGCGCUAGGAUUCAGGUCGACUUAAGGUCACCGGAACCCGUAGCUAGCCUGCUAUACUCUCUAUGUACCUGUAAAUUCCCAUUCAUGAUCAUAUAUUUUUCAGUGAAAAUAAAAACUCUUCUCUAAUCCAAGGCUCAACCUGUGCAUGCACUGAUAGAGCAUAUUUUAGUCCAUUUUAUCAUUAUGUUCUUGAUGUUUAUUUACAUCUUUUCUGCUUAAUUUUGUGGUUUUAAUUAUGUUUUGCAGAUAUUAGUUGUAAAGAGACAAUCUGGAGAAAAUGCUCUUAAAACUGCGAAAAAGUGCCAAAUAUGGAAAGUUCCAAAAAAGGAAAGUUUCCAAAUAAGAAAAGUUUCCAGAAAAGGAAAGUUUCCAAAUAAGAAAAGUUUCCAGAAAAGGAAAGUUUCCAAAUGUGGAAAGUGCAGAAGCAAAAGCAAACAAGGAAAGCUCAGUCAGAAAAUUAUUUGAAAUUCAAAUCGCAGAUCUUUCUUUCCUUGUUCAAAGAUGUGCACACACUGCAGCAGUCAUAUCUUCCUAUUUAGGCAGUAAGAUCUCAAAGAGAUGCUCUUCCUCUUCUGCGUUCAACAUUCGAAUUUCAAAAGAGGCUCCACCUAAAAGGAAUGUAUGGACAGCAUAUCUUCCCCUUUGAAGAGCAAAAUUCGUGCAUCCUUCCUAUUCAGAAACAAUCUGCGCGCUUUCCUCUUCUGAAAGCCAUCUGCGCGCCACCUUCCUUUUCUGUAACAACUUGGGCAACAAGUUGAGCAUGGGCAGCACCUUGGGCAGCCUCCACACUAAUUAGGAAGCAAGGUCAGCAUCUAAACUUAUUUAGGAAGCACAAUCUGUGCCUCCUUUCCUUUCGGAGACCAAACCGCGCGCACCAACUUCCUUCCGCAAAGCAUUCGCGCGCAGCCUUCCUUCUGAAGCCGAAAAACGUGAUUUUUUCCUUUUCAGACACAACUUGGGCAGAAAAUACCUCUUGGGCAGUAAGUAUGACCUAGGGCAACACUUUUCAACUAUAAAAAGCCACAUAAGGAGCCUCUACAGGUCCCUUAAGCUCCCCUUGGGAGACACCUACGAAAUUCACAUCUCUUCUUCUACCUUUCUUCUUUUCUUUUAUUUUUGGUUUUGUUUCAGCCAUGAGAGGCUGAAAUCUUUUAUUCUAGUUGAAGAUUAGGAGAUACUUUGGUUGUUUUAUAGAUUGGGAGACUUGAUCAAACAUUGUUUAACUUUUGGUUGUUCAAUAUUUAUGCAAUUUCAAGCUUGAUUUCAAUAUUGCUUUGUUGUUUAGAUCUACGUUGAUUCUUGAUUGCAAAGUAAUAGUAUGUUAGUUUGGAUAAUUUAAGUCCGUAAUUGCUUAGAUUAUUCUUACAUAAGAACACUUGGGAUAAAACCCAAGGAAAUUGUAUGAUCUAGCUUUAUCUCCAUACGUUUGGGUAGUUAGGAUUGGAUCUCUCUAUUUCUUAAUGCAAUUGACAAUUAUUUUGAUGCCUAAGGCCCAAGGACGUUCCUUGGAAAUUUGUUAAUUAGUAAUUAAUUAGAGGACGUUCCCUAAUUGGUUUAAUAAUAAGGAGAGAUAAUGGUGGUGAGAAGCGUCUUCCAUCUCCAUAACUAAUCUAUUGAAUCAACCCAAAGGAAACUAAGUGUCAAUGAUCAAUCCCAAUAACUAAAGUGGAUCCAAUCCUUCAACUAGAUCUUUCUUAUUAUUUAUUUCUCUUUAUUUUUAUUAUUUGCCUUAUUUUUAUUGCUUUCAGUUUUAGAUUAAUUAAAUCAAUCUCAAAACCCCUCCAUUUUACUUACAGUUUAGUUGGUUUUAGUUUUAUCUCGUUUUAGUUUAUUUUGCUUUCCGUUUAUUUCUCUUUCAGUUUUAUCUCAUUUCAGUUUUAUCUCGUUUCAGUUUAUCUCGUUUUCAGUUUUAUCUCGUUUCAGUUUUAUCUCAUUUCAGUUUUAUCUCGUUUCAGUUUUAUCUCAUUUCAGUUUAUCUCGUUUUCAGUUUUCUUCUUUUGCAGUUUAUUUUUAUUUCAGUUUAUUUUAUUGGUCUUGAUAAGGAAAAUAGGUAAGUCUUCAAUUCCCUGUGGAUUUGGUCCUUUCACCACUAUCUGCAGUUGUAAAUUGUUGAUAACCAGAAAGGUUAUUUUUAACCGGCUUCGACAACCGCGAGUCAUGCACUCUCUCUGUGCACAGACCCUUUACUGGGUCCACACAAUAUCUGUUAAACCUAGUUUUUCACACACUCAUAAAACAGUUACAUAAACAGAUCAUGUAUACAAAAGGAUUUACAAACCAAAUAAGGCAAGCACCAUUCUAACUUUAUACACAACUAUUACAUCUCUUUAUAAUAUUACAUGUCCACACUAUACUACUACAAAACUUUUUUCUCUUCCUGAACUCUUCUGAACUUUCCCUGUACACUGAACCUGCAACACUGGGGUUAAGGGAGUGGGAUGAGCUACUAUAGCCCAGUGAGUAGAACAAUAAAAUCAGUUAUUAUACAUGUUUUCAUGGAAUGCAUGACAACACAAGUAAGUCACAUCAACUCGGGUGAUCAUAUCCCCAAAUAGUCCCGACAUCCUAUCCUCGUGCUAGGGCGUAGAAUGGGCACCUGGUCUUCCUGUACACAACAUCUGAUACUUACCAUAUACCGUGCCAGGGCGUAGACUGGGCACCUGGUCUUUCUACCGUGCCAGGGCGUAGAAUGGGCACCUGGUCUUACUCAGAGACUAUUGGAUCAUCCAUUUUCACCCACACAGCACAAUGAUAGAAUGCAAUGCAACAUAUUCGUGAUUUCUAAUGCAAUCAACCUAUUGCAUAGUUAUGGUGCAUGAAAUAUGCUCAAAGCAUUCAAUUUCUCAAGUAAAAGAAUUACGUUUAGUUCCAAUCACCUCUGGCUAUCUCUGAACAGACUCUGCAAACUCUGAAGCAGUACUCACUGCUGAACUCUCUGGUUCCUCUGGUCAGUUCCUACAUAGAUGGACUCAAAUGAGUGACCAAACUAGCUCAAGAACAACUCUAUAAAGCUCCCCAAACAUCCCCUUAGAUACCCUAAAACAACCAUGUAAAUCAUGCAAAGGAACGCUGGACAGAGCACAUUCGGCGGCAGGUUCGGCGGCCGAAUGUCCUCUCCAGAGCCGAAACUCAUGCACCUUCGGCGGCCGAACUUUUACUUUCGGCAGCCGAACCCUUUCGGGGGCAAGGUUCGGGGGCGGAAAGGCACUCCAGAGCCGAAAGUCCACAACCUUCUGCGGCACCUUCGGCGGCCGAAACCCCCCUCCAGAGCCGAAAGUCUAAACUCUCGGGGGCAAGCUUAGGCAAUCGAAGCCACCUCCUCAGCAUGUUCGGCGGCCGAUCCUUCCUUCGUCGGCCGAAGCUGGGUUCUUUGGCAAGGCAGAACCUUGCUCUGCCUCACGCCAAACUUCUCCAAUCUUACCCAAACUCAACCACCACAAAUCCUCAACACACAUAUACCCAAGUAUAUGCUCAAAGGGGUCAAAAACUACCUUAUAACCCCAACAAACAACAGAACACAACAUAUAUACAUGCUUUCAUCAACAAAACACCAAAAACAUACCAAGAACCCUAAUCAUGCAACUCUACUCAUAAACUCUAUAAAACCUCCACAAAUCAUAAAAAGAAGUUCAGGAUCUUCACUUACCUCUUGAAAAACAAGAAGAUGAACGAUCCUAGCGUGGAGAUAUGGAGAAACUCUCCCUCAAACUCUCCAAACUUCAAAUCUUGGGUUUUUAGCUCAAAACCUUCAAAACAACAUCAAAACCUAUCAAAACUUUGCAAGAUUUGAUGAAAACAUGAAGAACACCUAAGGAAGACAUGGUCUCACCUCUGUUUGUGAAAGGAAAAGCAAAUCUUAUCCUUUAACCGACUGAGGGCCGGCUGGCCAGACCACCUUCGGCGGCCUAACGUGAAACCAAAAGCCAUGCAUGUUCGGCGGCCGAACGUGAAACCAAAAGCCAUGCAUGUUCGGCGGCCGAACAUCACCUUCGGCGGCCGAACCUGGCUUUUCUUCCUUGGUGCUUUUCUUUCAAAAACUCAUUUCCUUUUCACUUUAAACCUAUAUAUCCUACGAAAAAUACUUUAGAAAAACAUAAAUCUUACCCGUCUAGAGGAUUCCGACAUCCUGGAUCCCACCAGAAAGUAGAAUUCCAAUGCCGAACUCGAGCCGGGUAUUACAUUAACACUCAUAUUUAUUUCAAUAAAUUAGUUUAGGAUGUGGAAGACGCUUCUCACAAUCCAAAUUCCUCCUUAGUUCUAGUUUGAUUAGGAAACGUUCGCUAAUCAAACACUAGUUAACAAGUUGCCAAGGAACGUCCUUGGGGCUUUUAGCAUCGAACAACUGUUAACUGCAUUAAGACUUAGAGAAACCUAAUUCUAAUCUUGCCAACCACGUGGUCAAGUUUAGAUUAUGCAACUUGAUUAAAUAUGUGUUUAAAUAAUCCAAGUAAUUCUGGAACUAAAUUAUUCAAACAAUUGUUACUCAAGCAAUUAAAAGCAAUAGGCCUAAAUUGAUUCUAAAAGCAAAGCAACAAUUAUAGAAAGAUCAAAUUGCAUAAAUAUUGAAAAUAAAUAGAAGUUUAACAAUGGAGAUUUAAAUCUCCCAAUUCAUCACAAAUCUGAAUUUUCCAACUUCAACUAGAAAGGAAUUGUUUUAGCCACUCAUGGUGGACAAAAAUAUACAAAAGAAGAGAAGAAAAGAAGAAAGUAAGUUCUGGUGUAUUUCUGCAGAAUUCCUGAGGAGGAGAGGAUGUUGAGAUGAUGUCCCUUUGCUGGUUUGGAGGCUGCUCUUUUAUAGCUGAAGAAUCCCAUCCAUCUAGGGUUUUGAAAUCCCUUUUUGAUUUGGUUUUUGUUUCCCCUUUUGAUGUUGAAUUUAAUUGCAAAUGGAAUUCCUUAGGUGAGAAACUCUUUCGUGGCUCUUGGAAUUGUGUUGGCAGUGAUUGAGUUGGAUUUGGGCUUCUCAAAAUUCAAAUUUCGGUUCCCUGCACUUUUCCCGCCUCUGCUGUCUGUUUCUGCUAUCAGUGUGAUUGAGGCAGUGAUUUGGGCAUAUCAUUUGCCCCAAUCCCUUUUCCGUGGUCAGUCCAGUUUUUAGCUUUCUGUCUCUGCGAGUGAUUUGGGCGGUGAUUUGGGCAAAUCGCUUGCCUAAAUCACUUCUACCUGUUGCCUCCAGGUUUCUGCUUAAGCUUGAUCUGGGCAGUGUUUUGGCCAAAUCACUUUGACCCAAUCACUUUUCCAGCUUUUUCUUCACUUUUUCUCCAACUUUCCAUUUUCUUCUUUUUCUACAAAAACAUAACAAAAACAUAAAUUAAGCUAGAAAAAUGUGUAAUUAAACAGUAAUAAAUAUACUAAAAAUGUGGCUAAAUUAUGCUU
RNAcentral lists this long non-coding RNA (9062 nucleotides) under Manihot esculenta (cassava). RNAcentral describes it as "long non-coding RNA (MESC_LNC009665)". Lineage: Eukaryota; Viridiplantae; Streptophyta; Magnoliopsida; Malpighiales; Euphorbiaceae. The record is from RNAcentral.